GAUGAAAGCUGGCGGCGUGCUUAACACAUGCAAGUCGAACGGAAAGGCUCCUGCUUGCAGGGGUACUCGAGUGGCGAACGGGUGAGUAACACGUGGGUGAUCUGCCCAGCACUUCGGGAUAAGCCUGGGAAACUGGGUCUAAUACCGGAUAGGACGAUGGUUUGGAUGCCAUUGUGGAAAGUUUUUUCGGUGUGGGAUGAGCUCGCGGCCUAUCAGCUUGUUGGUGGGGUAAUGGCCUACCAAGGCGUCGACGGGUAGCCGGCCUGAGAGGGUGUACGGCCACAUUGGGACUGAGAUACGGCCCAGACUCCUACGGGAGGCAGCAGUGGGGAAUAUUGCACAAUGGGCGCAAGCCUGAUGCAGCGACGCCGCGUGGGGGAUGACGGCCUUCGGGUUGUAAACUCCUUUCGCUAGGGACGAAGCGCAAGUGACGGUACCUGGAGAAGAAGCACCGGCUAACUACGUG
This 466-nucleotide ribosomal RNA is filed under the name uncultured bacterium. Its description in RNAcentral is "partial 16S ribosomal RNA". It matches the Rfam family "Bacterial small subunit ribosomal RNA", at positions 28 to 507 of the family's 1533-position model. The record is from RNAcentral.